GGAUCCGCGGCUGCAGGGCAGACCACCGGGGGGAACGGCACAGGCGCCCUACCCACAGGCCACUGGGAGACUCGUGCUCGUGUGAGGAGGCUGUGUGUGGAGUGGGACGUUCCUGGGCUCCCCGACCCCUUGCGCACCUGCAGGCCACCACCACGGCCAUCCAGAGCUCCCCAGGCCUGGGCUCCCUCCACUUCUCCACCUGCACAUCCCAGAUAAGGAAAUGGGGCUGCAGAGUGUAGGCGUCUUGGCUCAGGGCGGCCAGCGCAGGAAGUGGCAGAGCUGGAACCCCGCCAUGGCUCUGCUCUGAAAUGCUCUAGGACAUCUGCCAAGCACCAGCUGUAGAGGAGGGCUUGCAGGGGCAGAGCUGCAGACAGUGGGCGGCUGGUCUUUUCCAGCCUUCCCCUUGACCUUGCAGAAGCUUUCCUAGACUCAGCCUUCCCUGCCCAGCCACCCCGCCUCCAACUGAGAGCCCACCAGCAAAAUCACUUCAUCCAGGUCUUGUCUGAGCACAGCUGGUAUUGGUGGGUACGCAGGUCUCUGUGGCUUGCAGAGCGUGGGCAGCUUACCUGCCAUUUUCCUGUUAGUACUUGAUUCUCAUGGCCACAGGAAGUUGUCUUUUUAAUUAUGUGGUUAAAGUCAGUUCCAUGGGAUUUUAUUGAGGCUCUACUAUGGGAGAUUCCUGGCACCUGAUGGUGGUGUGAUGGUUGUGAUGUACAUGGUGAUAAUGGUGGUGGUGAGGAUGGUGAGGAUGGUGGUGGUGGUGGUGGUGGUAAUGGUGGUGGUGAUAGUAGUGAUGGUGUGGUGAUGGUGAUGGUGAUGGUGGUGAUGGUGGUGGUACUGGGGAUGGUGAUGAUGGCAGUAGUGGUGGUGGUGGUGAUGGUGAUGAUUGUGAUGGUUGGUGGUGGUAGUGAUGGUUGUGAUGUACAUGGUGAUAAUGGUGGUGGUGAGGAUGGUGGUGGUGGUGGUGGUAAUGGUGGUGGUGAUAGUAGUGAUGGUGGUGGUGAUGAUGGUGGUGAUGGUGGUGGUAGUGAGGAUGGUAAUGAUGGC
This 1047-nucleotide long non-coding RNA is filed under the name Marmota monax (woodchuck). The record is from RNAcentral. Lineage: Eukaryota; Metazoa; Chordata; Mammalia; Rodentia; Sciuridae.